Sebastes umbrosus (honeycomb rockfish) is the source of this 1603-nucleotide long non-coding RNA. RefSeq lists it as uncharacterized. The record is from RefSeq and is a predicted model, not a curated record. Lineage: Eukaryota; Metazoa; Chordata; Actinopteri; Perciformes; Sebastidae. The transcript is spliced from 3 exons.
CACACACACACACGUUCCUUCUCUGAAAUUACACCUGCUCCACGGGGUCGAUGUCCUUUACACCACAGAGGGCGUAAGACUUUAUAAGCCUGGCACAUCACUGUUUCAGUAAUGUGUUGUGGUGCUGCAUGAAUGAAUCAAAUUGCCACAAUGAAUGAUGGGAUUAUUUCCAUAAGAGGUUUGGGAAAGGUCAUGUUCAAAUUGGUUCCUGUGAGACUUUAAGCAACCUAAGAGUAUAUGGACAAUGAUUGAUGACGGCCCAGCCUGAAGAAUAGUGAAGUCAAGCAAUGACUGUGAAAACUGAACCACAGGUUAGACUCCAAUAUAUUCACAAACAAUGGAAAGAGAACAUAUUUAUUCCCUCAAACUGUGAACUACUGUGUCUAUGGGAAAAGGGUAUGUUAUUGAUUUACAUACAGACAUAAUGCCCUUUCUGUCAAUCCCAACAGGUCAUGACAGAUAUCCAGUUGGCAUGAAAAACAUUGUUCCAUUGAAAGACUUGCAAAAAUUAUGCAAAGAGGAUCUUGAUAAUAUUCAUGAUAAAGAUGUUUGGAAAAAAAUGUUUCCUCCCUUUCUCUUUGUGAAGAAUUCAAAGUGACACCAUAUAGGAUAUUACGUAGGCAACACAGAACACCUCAUGUUCUGAACAAAAUGUAUCCUAUUAGAUCUCUUUUGUGUAUUAAGUGUAAAUUGACAGCUGGAACUUACAUGCAUUGCUUUCACAGUUGAUCGAAUAUAACUAUGUUCUGGUAAUGUAAAGCCAAGAGAUUAUUACUGGUUUUGUGUUUGAUUUCAGCCUUAAAAUUACAGUGUAGAUAUUUACUACAUAUGGGGCAUCAAUAAAAUCCAUACCAGGUCCCUAGAGACAAAAGGGAAGAUGACUCUCUCAAUGUACUUACACAGAAUAGAAAUAACAAUAAAAGAAUACAAUACUAAAAAUAAACAUAAAAUAAAAUGUCUAUAUACAAGUCAAGUGUUCAUAAAUUGUAACAAUACAAAUAGUGCAAAGAAAUAAAUACUGGAUGAUUAUGUACAGUAUGUACAUGUGAAGAUGUCUAUAUGUACAGCAUGUAGGAUUUAUAUUUACAGUGACAGGUAUGUACAUAUUACAAUAUGUACAUAAAGUGACAGAUGGUAUGUACAGAUUACAAAAAAAAUUGCAUUAAAGACUGUAAAUUAUAAUCUGAAAAUGUUCAUUAAAGACAGUAAGAAUUAUAAUCUAUAACAGCAGCAGCGGAUAUUUGGUGUUAAAGGGUUAUUGACAGUAUAAGUAGCUUUCCUAAACUGUACAUUUAUUAGAGUGAAUUAGAGUUCAGUAACUUUCCUAAACCAAAAACAAUGGAAAGAGGUAAAAAGUGUGAAAAUACGUAAAUGUCAAUUGAAUGCAAUUCACGCCCCUAUCAAAUUCAAUUAAGCUGCCUGAAAUCCCUCCCGAUCACUGCCGGGAUGUUUCCCUGCAGACUGAGCCUGAGCUGCAAUACACUUCAUCAUCCGAGAAGUUGGGACAGAAAUCCAUUUCAACACAGGGUUUUAACAGUGUUAUCAGCAGCCCCAGAGAGAGAAGAGAGGUGACACAUGGUCUCCAGAGUCCUAUUCAGCACAU